UGCAGGACUGUAAGUUUACCUCUUUGGCGCAUAUUGAGUUUUGAGCUAUUAUAAUCUGUCAUUUAUAUUUCAUGGAAUGCUCCCAUUAUUGCCAAUGGAGGCUAAGAAUAUAAGAUUACAAGAGCCUUGCAGCUGAAUCAGGCCAGUGGCCCAUUUAGUCCAGCAUCCUGUUCUCGCAGUGGCCAACCAGAUGCCUGCAGGAAGUGCACAAGCAGGACCUGAGGGUGAUAACCAUGCUCUCCCUGUAUACAGCCUCCGACAGUGGAUGUAGAACACAACAGGAUAAAAAGAUGCCAUACUUGAAAGACAGAGAGAAACAUAUAAGUAAAACUGCAAGAGUUGAAACUGAAAUUUUUGACAGAGGCAAGUAGUGGCAUGUUAAGCCUGAUUAUAUCGUUUAAAGGCAAGGUUCAAUGGCAUCUCUCCCCACUACCUAUUGAAACAGAAUUGACAGUACACAAUGUUUACUGCUGGCAAUAAGGAUGGGAGAGAAAUUAGAUUCAGUUCACAUUUAAAGAGUCUCAUGUCCCAAGCAUCUCCAGGGAGGGCAAGGAAUGAUCCCCACCUGAAAUCAUGGAGAGCCGCUGCCAGUCAGUGUCAACAGUACUGAACUAGAGGGGCCAAUUUUCUGACUCAGUAUAAAGCAGCCGCUUUGCAUAUGGCAUAUUUACAAGUGGGACAUGUUCAUUCUGCACUUGUAUGGAAUUAAUCCUGCAGUGGGAGCACCGAUACUUUGGGGCUCCCUGCCUAUUAAUAUUAGGUAGCUGCCUGCCAAAAAUUUUGUUUAGGUCACCUCACCUAGACUUGUAAUUUUAACAUAUGCAUUUGUUUGUUUUAAAAAUUAUUUUUAUCUAUAUUUUGAUAAUUUUACUAUGUCAACUAUUUUAAGUUUUUUAAUCUCUAUUUUAAUGGAUAUUUUAUAUCACUCUCUGUA
Long non-coding RNA from Rhineura floridana, 934 nucleotides. RefSeq lists it as uncharacterized. Lineage: Eukaryota; Metazoa; Chordata; Lepidosauria; Squamata; Rhineuridae. The record is from RefSeq and is a predicted model, not a curated record. The transcript has 4 exons.